Molecule: long non-coding RNA, 899 nt
Filed under: Chinchilla lanigera (long-tailed chinchilla)
Lineage: Eukaryota; Metazoa; Chordata; Mammalia; Rodentia; Chinchillidae
Description: lncRNA (ENSCLAG00000024369.1)
Source: RNAcentral
GCAAGACUUUCUCAAACCUGACUUCUGGAGCUGUGCUCCUGCACACAUGUCUGCCUAGGUCAGACCCUCAUGGUCGCAACACUGAACAGAAUUCCACGUGGGUAGCUCAGAUCACACAGGGAAGCAUGCAUGGGGUCUCACUCUCGGAGAGGGUGUGUGCGGGGGGGCGGGGGGCUGAAGCUGCUCAGAAGAAACAGAGUAAGUCCCUUCAUCUGCAGUGCUGAGGUGGCUGCUUACACGACCCCUUUGCCAGACAGACCUUGACCCAAGUCAACUCCUCGUGCACCCAGCUGGUGCCUUACGUAUCCAGAGUGCAGACCUCAAGGCCAGGAGAAGCUCCCGGACAGCGUCCACUCAGAGUCCACUGUGAGGAUCUAACCUCCAUUUCUACAAGCUAGCGCCUCGGGGAGAACUUCCAGGGCCAAGCAGACUCCCAACAGCAUCCUUCUCCAGAGCCGAGAGUCUCCAUCCUGGCCGCACCCCAGCACCGGACAAAAAUAGACUGCGGAGCGAGCCCAGCUGGCAGGAUCUCAGUCUCCGAGCAGAUGAGCAGCGAGCAGGAUUCCAGCAGCCGGGUCGGAGGAGCACAGGAAGGACGGACGUAGGCACACGGCCCGGGUGGAAAACCCACUCCCACUACAAUCCUGGCAGCUGAGGCCAACUCUUUUCUUCCCUAGAGCAUCUGGCUCAGCCCUGUCUGCCCUUCUAAAAUGAGCUAUCAAAAAAUAUAUAUAUACAUACACACACACACACACACACACCACAAAAAUGAAUAAAAAUGACCCAUCAGCAACAGUAUCUAUUAAUAGCAAUGAAGGCAACGCUCCCGCUGUGGCCCUGCCAGUCCUUGGGGUGUAGCACCAGCUCCCAGCUCCUCUUAGAGGGACUUUUGCUUCCCC